RNAcentral lists this ribosomal RNA (482 nucleotides) under uncultured bacterium. RNAcentral describes it as "partial 16S ribosomal RNA". It matches the Rfam family "Bacterial small subunit ribosomal RNA", at positions 30 to 507 of the family's 1533-position model. The record is from RNAcentral.
AUUGAACGCUGGCGGCAUGCCUUACACAUGCAAGUCGAACGGUAACGGGCCUUCGGGUGCCGACGAGUGGCGAACGGGUGAGUAAUACAUCGGAACGUGCCCGAUCGUGGGGGAUAACGAGGCGAAAGCUUUGCUAAUACCGCAUACGAUCUACGGAUGAAAGCAGGGGACCGCAAGGCCUUGCGCGGACGGAGCGGCCGAUGGCGGAUUAGGUAGUUGGUGGGAUAAAAGCUUACCAAGCCGACGAUCUGUAGCUGGUCUGAGAGGAUGAUCAGCCACACUGGAACUGAGACACGGCCCAGACUCCUACGGGAGGCAGCAGUGGGGAAUUUUGGACAAUGGGCGCAAGCCUGAUCCAGCCAUGCCGCGUGCAGGAUGAAGGCCUUCGGGUUGUAAACUGCUUUUGUACGGAACGAAAAGCCUUCUUUUAAUACAGGAGGGUCAUGACGGUACCGUAAGAAUAAGCACCGGCUAACUACGUG